GCCCCUUUAGCUCAGUUGGUUAGAGCAGCUGACUCUUAAUCAGCGUGUCCAGGGUUCGAGUCCCUGAGGGGGGCACCC
Molecule: transfer RNA, 78 nt
Filed under: Bifidobacterium pullorum
Lineage: Bacteria; Bacillati; Actinomycetota; Actinomycetes; Bifidobacteriales; Bifidobacteriaceae
Description: tRNA-Lys
Rfam family: tRNA
About the family: Transfer RNA (tRNA) molecules are approximately 80 nucleotides in length. Their secondary structure includes four short double-helical elements and three loops (D, anti-codon, and T loops). Further hydrogen bonds mediate the characteristic L-shaped molecular structure. tRNAs have two regions of fundamental functional importance: the anti-codon, which is responsible for specific mRNA codon recognition, and the 3' end, to which the tRNAs corresponding amino acid is attached (by aminoacyl-tRNA synthetases). tRNAs cope with the degeneracy of the genetic code in two manners: having more than one tRNA (with a specific anti-codon) for a particular amino acid; and 'wobble' base-pairing, i.e. permitting non-standard base-pairing at the 3rd anti-codon position.
Source: RNAcentral